UUAGAAACCCUAGCUGCCGGAACAUACUCCUGUCAUCUCCCCCUCUCAACUCGACCAACCAUCCGAAAUACCACACCGAUGUUGACAUCAUUUCCGGCGAAUCGUUCUGGAAAACACGACUCUCCUCCGCAUGCGAUAACGUUUCUACUUGACAAGUCCUUAUUCAGAAGAAUCUUCUGGAUCAACACUAAGUAGCUAAAAAAGCUUAUGGGUAACGGCUGCGUAUGAAGAUUACACUGGGGAUUUACAUAUUCAAGGACACAUUGAGGGAUGGUCAUAGAUGGGUUGGAGGUUGCUAAAGUAAUUCCAAUUGACCAUCCAAGAAUAAGACUAAGCUCAUGCACUGUCUGCAAAGUGGUUGUGGCACUUUGUGUUGCUCACCUACAAAUGCUUCAGCCGUUGAGUUGGAUGCACAGGCAAGAGCCGUGUAAGGAACAUUAUAUCUUAGAAGAUUAUACUGGGGAUUUCCAUAUUCAAACACACAUAGUGGCCGAGAUGGUUUGCUUAGCUCAUCGAAGAGACGGGGUUCUGGUCCGCAGUAAACUGUUUCCCGAGCUAGUAAGUAAAAGUCAGGUAGACCAGCUUCGGUCGUAAACUCAAAACUAGGGUCAAAAUUAGCUAGCAAGUAAAACUCAGGUAGACCAGCUUCGGAAAUAUAUAAUUGCUUACUUGCUAACACGAGGCGGACUUCCGUAAAGAUUACUGACAGCAAUGCGAUUGAACUCAUUCACUGUCUGCAAAGUGAUUGUAGCGUCUUUUGUAGCUCACCCACAAAUGUUGCACGCGUUGAUUUGGAUGCUCAGGUAGCUUAAGAGAUUCUAUAUUGCUAUGGCAAAACACAAUGUUACGAAGUGGUCAACUCACUGGAAGGAGUGAGUCAAUGGGGGGAGAGACGGUUUGUUCAACAAGCUUGAACAAUCUUCCUUCUCGUAAUUGUCUUGCUACAAAUGCAACCAUGUUGAUUGAGGCCCGAUACUACGGUUUUUGUAUGGAGUCAGAUGCAACCAACUCUGCAAAGAAGCCGAGAGGAAAGACAUGGUGAAUUGGUACAGGUGUGAUUGUCUGGGGCCCAUUUUUCCAUCUCGAUACCAUUGUGUCAAAUGCCAUGAAACAUUCUUCACGAGUGUUGAAUUUGAACACCACAAGAAUUCUACUUGUAAAAUCAAACAUGAGGUUGGUAGCAGCUUUACUGUCACCGAGUCAUUGUCAGAGCCACUUUGGGGGAACACUCAUCAUAUGAUAAGGCGGCUGAUGAUGGACUUAUUGGAUAUGGAAGCUGCAUUACCUGAUGGAGCAAGAAGACGUUCAAUGGAAAGCCCCAAAUGGAGGUCUGCGUGGUGUGUGUUUGUUAAAUCUGCUACAAUAAUAUACGAGGUAUGAUGUGUUCUUGGUUAGAGGUAUAUUAGAUAAAUUACAUAAAUCGUUUGUUGUCUGCUAAACUAGCGGAAGUCGUCCAUCAAAGAAACUAUAUAAGACCAAGAAAUUCCUGAUUACAAGAACAUCAAAGUAAUCGCAUCACCCGUUCCAAUAAAGCCAUGCCAUCAUGAAGAUCGUGAACCAUCACUUAUACAUUUUUCUCAAUUGCUGGCAAGAGCUGUGUAAGCAACAUUUUAUCUAUGAAGAUUAUACUGGGGAUUUCCAUAUUCAGACACACAUAGUGGCCGAGAUGGUUUACUUAGCUCAUCGAAGAGAGUGUGUUCGAUAAGCAAUCAUUCCCUCAAGGAGGUUUACUUAGCUCAAGGCUGUCUUCUCAUGCAGUAGGCAACCUUCGUGAGGUGCAUGAUUUUUUCUGUUGUUUCAAAGACGUUAAGUUAUUGGAUGGGAAGAGCAAAUUACAUUUGAAAAGCUUGAACAAGAGCUUCAAUGUCCUUUUGCAAGACGGGGUUGCAAAAUCACCAAUCCUUGGUAAUUCUAGAGAUGUACAAAAGAAUAUUUGAAGUUACAGUUA
RNAcentral lists this long non-coding RNA (1948 nucleotides) under Helianthus annuus (common sunflower). Lineage: Eukaryota; Viridiplantae; Streptophyta; Magnoliopsida; Asterales; Asteraceae. The record is from RNAcentral.